AUUGAACGCUGGCGGCAGGCCUAACACAUGCAAGUCGAACGGUAACAGGAAGCAGCUUGCUGCUUUGCUGACGAAUGGCGGACGGGUGAGUAAUGUCUGGGAAACUGCCUGAUGGAGGGGGAUAACUACUGGAAACGGUAGCUAAUACCGCAUAACGUCGCAAGACCAAAGAGGGGGACCUUAGGGCCUCUUGCCAUCGGAUGUGCCCAGAUGGGAUUAGCUAGUAGGUGGGGUAACGGCUCACCUAGGCGACGAUCCCUAGCUGGUCUGAGAGGAUGACCAGCCACACUGGAACUGAGACACGGUCCAGACUCCUACGGGAGGCAGCAGUGGGGAAUAUUGCACAAUGGGCGCAAGCCUGAUGCAGCCAUGCCGCGUGUAUGAAGAAGGCCUUCGGGUUGUAAAGUACUUUCAGCGGGGAGGAAGGGAGUAAAGUUAAUACCUUUGCUCAUUGACGUUACCCGCAGAAGAAGCACCGGCUAACUCCGUG
RNAcentral lists this ribosomal RNA (490 nucleotides) under uncultured bacterium. RNAcentral's name for it is "partial 16S ribosomal RNA". It matches the Rfam family "Bacterial small subunit ribosomal RNA", at positions 30 to 507 of the family's 1533-position model. The record is from RNAcentral.